GGGAAGCAGUGGAGGCCGAGCAGGGAGAACGCGGAAGGGGAGUGAAGAGGAGUGAGGAGGAAGCUGCUCCUACCGCCAAGGAAGGGAGAAUGGAAGGGAAGGGAAGAAACAGAGAGAGACACAUCGAUGUGAGAGAAAUACAUCAGUUGGCUGCCUUCCACACUUGCCCCGCCCAGGGCCGGGGAUCGAGCUGCAACCAAGCCAACAGGAAGAGAAACCUGAGAAUUGUGUUGCUGUGUGGUUUUGACUCUGAGAUCCAUUCAGACAAACCUUCACCAGAGCAUGAGCGGUGAGCUGAAGCCUCCGUCUUCCUCCUCCGCCGCCUUCGGGUCUGCCAGGGAGAGAGCAGAGCGUCAGCGGCCACAGCAGGAGGCCUGGGGAGCCUGGAAUAUGCACACCAUCGCGAAGCCAACGGCAUCCAGAACUGGGAUUAUCUCCACUGACAGGCAA
Molecule: long non-coding RNA, 450 nt
Organism: Eptesicus fuscus (big brown bat)
Lineage: Eukaryota; Metazoa; Chordata; Mammalia; Chiroptera; Vespertilionidae
Exons: 4
Source: RefSeq, a predicted model, not a curated record